This 1250-nucleotide long non-coding RNA is filed under the name Phasianus colchicus (ring-necked pheasant). RNAcentral's name for it is "lncRNA (ENSPCLG00000010185.1)". The record is from RNAcentral. Lineage: Eukaryota; Metazoa; Chordata; Aves; Galliformes; Phasianidae.
GAAUGUGCAACGUUUGUUUUAGUACACGUUCACCUAAGCUAAGAAGUACAGACGCUUUUGCAUAGAAAUCUGUUUUUCCUGUUCAUCUGAUAUUUUCACCAAGUCUGGACAUCAAUCCAUGGAGUCUUUUCUUUGGAACCCUGUUUUUUGACAGUGAAGUUCUUGUUAAAACCUCUUCAGAUCCUGAAAUGGAUGGUUGCAAGCCACAAUUGCAUUGCAUAACUGACAUGGAGUUUAAAAAAAAAAAAAGUAAUUAGUUUUCUAAUGGUUCAUUUAGCAUCUGCUUGACUUCAGCUAUUGAACUGUUAGGCAAGCUGAUUAAUGUCUUUUAAUUGUCCCUUCCAUUCAGCUUUUCCAUAUCUCUUAUAGAAGGGCAGUCAUGGAGCUUUCCCAUAAGCUAUCAAGUACUCUAAGAGACAGUGACCUCUGGAAGGCCCGCAUGUUUUGUUCAGAGGAGAAACAGAUGUUACUGAGCACUUCUAGCUGACAAAGAGCAUCUCCAUGCUGUGUUUUCCCAAAAAAAAAAUAGCUGCAACGAGCAGCAGGAGACAAAUUCUUGCCUCGUGCUUCCAAACUUUUUUAUAGCCAGUAUUAGCCCCUUAGAAUAUUUUGGUCUUCCCUGGCAUUGUUAAAAAUGACUUCAGUGAUUUUAUCCCUGCUGCUUUCUCUUCUGUCCUGCCAGAAGGAAAUGCUGUUUUUCACACUUGUAGUCACCAAACAAGUAUUUCUAUAAAUAUGUUGUUUGCAUCUUUCCAGGCUUACUCACCUUCAUUUCUCCAGCUACUGAAGUGCUCAGAUGGAGAGCUGCACCCUCCCAGCAAGAAAUGACCUGAGACUCACGAGCGCACUCGUACUUUUCCAUGACCCAGGUCCCUCACUCCCUCUUGGACUUCAGUACACCUCAGGGAGCUGCAGGCCUGGCCUGUUGGGCAACGGGGCUGUGAACCGAUGCUGGUGGGAUUCCUGCAUUGGGCAACAGAGGCGUUAAUCCAACAGUUGGGAGGUGUGGUUGUGAAAGAGCCCAGCCUGGCCCUUAGCACACACCAACAGAAGGAUAUGGAACAACCGCGGAGUUGCACGGAGCUGCAGUUGCACCACUUCCUCCAGUGUGACAGGAUCAGGCUCAAAGGGAUGUUGCCAUGUCUCCCACGUUUUGUUUGUGGUCUCACCUCGCCUUGCUGAGACAGACGUUUUUCACAAAGCCGUGUGCAUUGCCAGGUGGGCUUCCCUCUGUCACCUCUACAACCCUC